AUGCGGGGGAAUGCCCCGCCCGUCACAUGAAAUCCCUGCAACGACGAAACCAGGCAGGGGACGUGAGAACCAGCCUCGAUCACAGGCAAGAGAGAGAAUGAUUAAUCCCGCACAAGGAGUCCACUGUGCAACUUGCUCACAGGAUGGAGUCGACAGGAAACUCCAGCACAACCUUCCGGUGACUGCCAAGGUGGGACGCUUGGAGACUGUGAAGGGGAGCUGUGAUUCUGCUCUGCCGCUUGGAUGGCUUCCAGUCUGAGGCCUGCGUUCGCGUCUGCCGCAGCGCUGAUUUAGUUUGUGACCUGGGGCACGUUUCCUGAGCUCUGAGCUCUUUCCCUUGUCUGUCCAGGACAGGGUGUCUGAGCUGUCACCCACAGAUCUGAGGAGGCUGCUGGGGGAAAUUACAGGGUAGCUUCCUGCCUGCAGCCAGCUCUGCGGGACAGAUCCCAGAGCCAGUUUCCCUGGAUGUCUGCUGCCCAAGAACAUCUGCUCCAAGGCAAGGUGGCAUCAGGCAGCACAGCAGCUCAGACACCUCUUCAUUCUGAGUGUUGCUGUACAGCAAAGCAGGCCCACAAUAUGACUCCAGGGUGAAAGAAAGAGGAGGAAGAGGAGGAGGAGGACUUAUAACCCUUCUUUCUUUGUUCGCAAGAGCAAGGCUAAUGAACCCAGAGACUCUGGAUUAGGCCAGAUUCAUGUCCAAGCUACAGAAUAGGCCACACACUGAACUUGAAGAGGCCAACUAUGAAUAGGAAUUUUUAGUCAUAUGGGAUUGCACUGGGGUGAGGUCACAAUCCUGAAUAGACUGAAGAAAUAAAUCAAUAUAAAUGGCACCGACAAGAAAGCCUGGAAUGUGCAGUUGAGUCUGCCUGAGAGCAUCUCUGUCACCAACACACAUCCAACAACAGGACCUAUGUGCCUUCUGACUGAGACUUUAAGUCCUGCUUAGAGGUAGCAUCUAUUGCUGAUAGGGCCUGAGGAGACACACUAGACUCAAUUUCUCUGCUUCUUGGAUCACAUGAAAAAAUAUGGUUAUGCAUUUCUCUCAAGCCAUGAGACUCAUGUCAAGCAUAGAUUCAGUGAGAAGCAAGUUGCACUGGACAAGACAUCACAGAGACCCCACCUAUGACACGUAUGGAGCCAUCUCUGCUACCACACGAGAGGAGGCGUUGUGCUUCAGAACAGGAUGAAGAAAACUGGGAUCGCUGCCAAGAUUCUGUGCUUUGGGAUUUUGUGCUGCAAUGUCAGGGAAAUUCAGGGCCACCACCAAAUUCAGGAGGGGAUUUCGAGAGAGCAAGAUUACAGUUCCUGCUAUGUCUGAAAAACUGCACAAAGUUAAUUAUGAUGAUUAUGUGUGUGGUAUUUGUGUACACUUGUAUGUGAAGGUCAGAUGUCAAUAACAAGUGUCUUCCUCAAUCACUCCACACCUUAUUUUUGAGACAGGGUCUUUCACUGAACCUAGGUAGGGUUCACUGGUUUGGUUUGAUGGGUUGGCCGAUGAGCUCCAGGAAUCUACCCAACUCUGCCUCUCCAGUGCUAGGAUUACAGACAUAUGCUGCCGAGCCUAGCUUUUAUGUAGGUGCUGAGAAUCUGAACUCAAGUCCUCAUAGUUGCACAACAAGCACUUUCUUUACCAACUGGGCCACCUCAUCAGCCCCAUCAAGGUAAUUAUCAAGAAAUAACUAACUGAGGCUGGAGAGAUGGUUCAGCAGAACCCACAUGGCAGCU
This is a long non-coding RNA of Nannospalax galili (Upper Galilee mountains blind mole rat), 1725 nucleotides long. RefSeq lists it as uncharacterized. The transcript has 3 exons. Lineage: Eukaryota; Metazoa; Chordata; Mammalia; Rodentia; Spalacidae. The record is from RefSeq and is a predicted model, not a curated record.